Molecule: ribosomal RNA, 527 nt
Filed under: uncultured bacterium
Lineage: Bacteria
Description: bacterial SSU rRNA
Rfam family: Bacterial small subunit ribosomal RNA
Source: RNAcentral
GAGUUUGAUCCUGGCUCAGGACGAACGCUGGCGGCGUGCUUAACACAUGCAAGUCGAACGAAAAGAGGGAAAGAGCUUGCUCUUUCCGGAAUUGAGUGGCAAACGGGUGAGUAACACGUAAACAACCUGCCUUCAGGAUGGGGACAACAGACGGAAACGACUGCUAAUACCGAAUAAGUUCCAAGAGCCGCAUGGCCCAUGGAAGAAAAGGUGGCCUCUACCUGUAAGCUAUCGCCUGAAGAGGGGUUUGCGUCUGAUUAGCUGGUUGGAGGGGUAACGGCCCACCAAGGCGACGAUCAGUAGCCGGACUGAGAGGUUGAACGGCCACAUUGGGACUGAGAUACGGCCCAGACUCCUACGGGAGGCAGCAGUGGGGAAUAUUGGGCAAUGGGCGCAAGCCUGACCCAGCAACGCCGCGUGAAGGAAGAAGGCUUUCGGGUUGUAAACUUCUUUUAAGAGGGAAGAGCAGAAGACGGUACCUCUAGAAUAAGCCACGGCUAACUACGUGCCAGCCGCCGCGGUAAUAC